UGAGUUUGAUCCUGGCUCAGGAUGAACGCUGGCGGCGUGCCUAAUACAUGCAAGUCGAGCGAACGGACGAGAAGCUUGCUUCUCUGAUGUUAGCGGCGGACGGGUGAGUAACACGUGGAUAACCUACCUAUAAGACUGGGAUAACUUCGGGAAACCGGAGCUAAUACCGGAUAAUAUUUUGAACCGCAUGGUUCAAAAGUGAAAGACGGUCUUGCUGUCACUUAUAGAUGGAUCCGCGCUGCAUUAGCUAGUUGGUAAGGUAACGGCUUACCAAGGCAACGAUGCAUAGCCGACCUGAGAGGGUGAUCGGCCACACUGGAACUGAGACACGGUCCAGACUCCUACGGGAGGCAGCAGUAGGGAAUCUUCCGCAAUGGGCGAAAGCCUGACGGAGCAACGCCGCGUGAGUGAUGAAGGUCUUCGGAUCGUAAAACUCUGUUAUUAGGGAAGAACAUAUGUGUAAGUAACUGUGCACAUCUUGACGGUACCUAAUCAGAAAGCCACGGCUAACUACGUGCCAGCAGCCGCGGUAAUACGUAGGUGGCAAGCGUUAUCCGGAAUUAUUGGGCGUAAAGCGCGCGUAGGCGGUUUUUUAAGUCUGAUGUGAAAGCCCACGGCUCAACCGUGGAGGGUCAUUGGAAACUGGAAAACUUGAGUGCAGAAGAGGAAAGUGGAAUUCCAUGUGUAGCGGUGAAAUGCGCAGAGAUAUGGAGGAACACCAGUGGCGAAGGCGACUUUCUGGUCUGUAACUGACGCUGAUGUGCGAAAGCGUGGGGAUCAAACAGGAUUAGAUACCCUGGUAGUCCACGCCGUAAACGAUGAGUGCUAAGUGUUAGGGGGUUUCCGCCCCUUAGUGCUGCAGCUAACGCAUUAAGCACUCCGCCUGGGGAGUACGACCGCAAGGUUGAAACUCAAAGGAAUUGACGGGGACCCGCACAAGCGGUGGAGCAUGUGGUUUAAUUCGAAGCAACGCGAAGAACCUUACCAAAUCUUGACAUCCUUUGACAACUCUAGAGAUAGAGCCUUCCCCUUCGGGGGACAAAGUGACAGGUGGUGCAUGGUUGUCGUCAGCUCGUGUCGUGAGAUGUUGGGUUAAGUCCCGCAACGAGCGCAACCCUUAAGCUUAGUUGCCAUCAUUAAGUUGGGCACUCUAAGUUGACUGCCGGUGACAAACCGGAGGAAGGUGGGGAUGACGGUCAAAUCAUCAUGCCCCUUAUGAUUUGGGCUACACACGUGCUACAAUGGACAAUACAAAGGGCAGCGAAACCGCGAGGUCAAGCAAAUCCCAUAAAGUUGUUCUCAGUUCGGAUUGUAGUCUGCAACUCGACUACAUGAAGCUGGAAUCGCUAGUAAUCGUAGAUCAGCAUGCUACGGUGAAUACGUUCCCGGGUCUUGUACACACCGCCCGUCACACCACGAGAGUUUGUAACACCCGAAGCCGGUGGAGUAACCUUUUAGGAGCUAGCCGUCGAAGGUGGGACAAAUGAUUGGGGUGAAGUCGUA
Molecule: ribosomal RNA, 1503 nt
Filed under: Staphylococcus aureus
Lineage: Bacteria; Bacillati; Bacillota; Bacilli; Caryophanales; Staphylococcaceae
Description: partial 16S ribosomal RNA
Rfam family: Bacterial small subunit ribosomal RNA
Source: RNAcentral